RNAcentral lists this ribosomal RNA (443 nucleotides) under uncultured bacterium. Its description in RNAcentral is "partial 16S ribosomal RNA". It matches the Rfam family "Bacterial small subunit ribosomal RNA", at positions 338 to 795 of the family's 1533-position model. The record is from RNAcentral.
CCUACGAGUGGCAGCAGUGGGGAAUAUUGGGCAAUGGAGGCAACUCUGACCCAGCAACGCCGCGUGAAUGAUGAAGGUCUUCGGAUUGUAAAGUUCUGUGAUGGGGGAUGAACACAAUGACGGUACCCCAAUAGCAAGCCACGGCUAACUACGUGCCAGCAGCCGCCGUAAUACGGAGGUGGCAAGCGUUAUCCGGAAUGACUGGGCGUAAAGGGUGCGUAGGUGGUGUAGUAAGUUGGCGGUGUAAUUCCGGGGCUCAACCUCGGCGCUACCGCCAAAACUAUUAGACUAGAGUGCAGGAGGGGUAAGUGGAAUUCCUAGUGUAGCGGUGGAAUGCGUAGAUAUUAGGAGGAACAUCAGGGGCGAAGGCGACUUACUGGACUGUAACUGACACUGAGGCACGAAAGCGUGGGGAGCAAACAGGAUUAGAUACCCCAGUAGUC